GGGAGUCCAUCUUUUUUGCUCUUCCAUUGACUUAUCUCCCUUGGGUAAGAUCUCAAACAUGUCAGCUCCCAGUGAUGGUUUGGCAGACAAAUGUUUACAGUGAAGUUUGUGACUUUAAUAAUCUAGGAUGAGCAUGUGGGCCAUCCCAGCCUUAUACAUCUACAUAUUACAAACUAUUUAAGAUAUCUGAAUGCACUAAAGACCAAAAUAGCAUUUCCAAACAAAAUAAUUACUGCCAAGAAAUUUGACAAUCAUGACAAUAAUUUAGUGAAUAAACAUGAUAAAUAUUGAUUGGAAAAAUAAGUCCAUGAACAGCAAAAAGUGUUUUUAGAUUUCAACGAGCAAAACAAAAGUAUUCUAAAUCAUUCUUCGUAAAAAAAAAGAGCGAGUGGAACCACCUUGCCCGCACCAAAAUUGAGAUUGAGAGUGUCAAAACUGCUCUGGCGCACCAUCAAUAAAUCAACAACACUCUCUCUACCGUGGUAUUGAAACCAGCAUUGGUAACCAAACAUAUUCAUACAGAUACAGACUACCAUUCAUCUACAUUUAGGAAGUCUGAAUAAUACUGAAAACUGUGGUGUAGAAUUUCCAACAGGACUCCUUAUUUUAUAUAAGACAAGGAGUGGUUUAUUUUCCCAUGGUUGUUACAUCAUCUUGUCUUUGAAUAUGCUCGAAGUACAGGGACUUUUAUGGAAUUCAUUGACAUGAUAGUCAAGCAAGAUGUCAACAUCUCGUCCAACCCUCUUCCAGCAAAGCCUAAGCUGACCAAGGAUCUUCACCCUUUCAAAACAGGCUGUAUACAGGACGAGUUAUUCCAGUAGGAAUAGGGCUAUAUAUAUGCAAGCAAUGCUCAAUUAAGAUGAAUUUUUGUAAAAGUGACAAUAGCCAGGUCAAAAUAAAUACAUGUAUAGAAGAAGAUAUUGAUCUAGACUCGCAGCUAACCUUUCUGUCAGUGUCAACAACAACUGAACUUUCACAGCAGUCAACAUCAGAUUGGGAGACUGAUAAUGCUUCUAACAGAAACAAUUUCAACCAACCAAACAAGCAACAGAAACUUUCCAACUUUAAAACAACAGUUAAAUCUUCCAUGGGAUGAUGUCUCAAAAAAUAAGAGUUCAUCAUUUAUGGAGAUUUUAACGUUAUGGUUUUUCUUUUACAAGAAAGUUAAUGUACACUUGUUUUAUAGUAAAACCUAUAGCCGUUCAAGUAUAAAAAAACACAUUCAACUUUAUUGAAAUUUGAAGAUUCAUAUGACUUAUUUUAAUUCUGUUAUCUCCGAGGAUAUGAUGUAGAGCAUUAUAGGUACAGUAAUCUUAACAGCUAUCCAAUUUCAUUCAAAAUUCUCUAUAAAUUUUGCACUGGUAUAUAUAGACUAAGUAAUUUGUUUUUCGUCUAGUUAUGGGAUUUUUUUUUAGAAGCAUUUAUGAUUUUCAUGUUUGUAUUGACCACAUUGCAGCAACAUAGAUAUAGGUACCUGGCAAAUCUUGCCUUGUUAGCAAACUAGGCUCAAAGGGUCAUAAAAAAAUUUCGAUCACUUAGUGUCUGUUAAAAUCAUCUGUUUACAGUUUUCACUUUUAAACCAUCAUCUUAAUAACUUUAGAAGAAGUGUCAUACAUAUAUAUAUGUAUACAAAAUUUAAAAACUUUUCAAUAUAUAUAUAUAUAUGCGUUUUGUUAAAAUAUACUUUUUCACUAUUUUGGUCUUUUGGAAAAUGUUGUUUGUGCUGUAUUUAGACCCCUCUACCAAGAAAUUUGUUUUACAUGCACACGUAUAAAAAUUGCGGUUUUUAUCCAACGCAAUCAUAGGUUUGAACGUUGUUUUCAAUUUAGACUUGUUUAUAUAUAUAUAUAUUGAUAAAAACUAUCAACAUGACAAGAUCUAAAUACCCAAAAUUUUUCUGAAAAAUUGGACAUAACAUCUAUGAGCUAUUGUCCCUGAAAUGUGUAAGUUUACAAAUUUUCACAGUUUUCUGCUACUAUCCGACAACUAUAUCAAUAUAUUAUAAGAAUAAAUUGCAAAAGUGGUCAGAAGAAACUUUUUUUUUACAGUCUGAACUUAUUCUGAAUUGUUUAACUGCUAAUUUAAAUUGAUUGCGUUUGAAAUAUGUGUUUUUUAUCAUUUUAGGUGCACAAUUUGUCAAUACGAUCUAUUUCGGCUCCUGGGAGCCUCUAGAUUUAUAAUGAAUAAUUUUUAUUUAUGUAUGAUUAUUUUCUUAAUGUAUUAAAUGAAACAUUAAUUAUUCUU
Mytilus californianus (California mussel) is the source of this 2244-nucleotide long non-coding RNA. RefSeq lists it as uncharacterized. The record is from RefSeq and is a predicted model, not a curated record. Lineage: Eukaryota; Metazoa; Mollusca; Bivalvia; Mytilida; Mytilidae. The transcript is spliced from 3 exons.